RNAcentral lists this ribosomal RNA (253 nucleotides) under uncultured bacterium. Its description in RNAcentral is "partial 16S ribosomal RNA". It matches the Rfam family "Bacterial small subunit ribosomal RNA", at positions 524 to 776 of the family's 1533-position model. The record is from RNAcentral.
UACGAAGGGAGCUAGCGUUGUUCGGAAUCACUGGGCGUAAAGCGCACGUAGGCGGAUGUGUCAGUCAGGGGUGAAAUCCCGGAGCUCAACUUCGGAACUGCCCUUGAUACAGCACGUCUUGAGUCCGGAAGAGGUGGGUGGAAUUCCUAGUGUAGAGGUGAAAUUCGUAGAUAUUAGGAAGAACACCGGUGGCGUAGGCGGCCCACUGGUCCGGUACUGACGCUGAGGUGCGAAAGCGUGGGGAGCAAACAGG